ACAGAGGUGGCGAGCGUUGUUCGGAUUUACUGGGCGUAAAGGGCGCGUAGGCGGCGCGGCGUGUCGGGUGUGAAAUCCAUGGGCCCAACCCAUGAAGUGCGCCCGAAACUGCCGCGCUGGAGUGCGGGAGGGGAGGUCGGAAUGCAGGGUGUAGCGGUGAAAUGCGUUGAUAUCCUGCAGAACACCGGUGGCGAAGGCGGACCUCUGGAACGCAACUGACGCUGAGGCGCGAAAGUCGGGGGAGCAAACAG
Molecule: ribosomal RNA, 251 nt
Filed under: uncultured prokaryote
Description: partial 16S rRNA
Rfam family: Bacterial small subunit ribosomal RNA
Source: RNAcentral